RNAcentral lists this ribosomal RNA (309 nucleotides) under Vibrio cholerae. RNAcentral describes it as "partial 23S ribosomal RNA". It matches the Rfam family "Bacterial large subunit ribosomal RNA", at positions 237 to 549 of the family's 2925-position model. Lineage: Bacteria; Pseudomonadati; Pseudomonadota; Gammaproteobacteria; Vibrionales; Vibrionaceae. The record is from RNAcentral.
UCCUAAGGAGCGGCGAGCGAAAGGGAAAGAGCCCAAACCAUUGAAUUUAUUCAGUGGGGUUGUAGGACUACGAUGUGAGACAGAGAGGUAUAGUUGAAGUCUUUGGGAAAAGACGCCAGAGAGGGUGAGAGCCCCGUAAGCGAAAUAGCUCGAAGCUCUAGUAGUAUCCUGAGUAGGCCGGGACACGAGGAAUCCCGGUUGAAGCAGCGAGGACCAUCUCGCAAGGCUAAAUACUAACUAGUGACCGAUAGUGAACCAGUACCGUGAGGGAAAGGUGAAAAGAACCCCGGAAGGGGAGUGAAAGAGAAC